This 483-nucleotide ribosomal RNA is filed under the name uncultured bacterium. RNAcentral's name for it is "partial 16S ribosomal RNA". It matches the Rfam family "Bacterial small subunit ribosomal RNA", at positions 30 to 507 of the family's 1533-position model. The record is from RNAcentral.
AUUGAACGCUGGCGGCAGGCCUAACACAUGCAAGUCGAGCGGAUGAAGGGAGCUUGCUCCUGGAUUCAGCGGCGGACGGGUGAGUAAUUCCUAGGAAUCUGCCUGGUAGUGGGGAUGACGGCCAGAAACUGGGGCUAAUACCGCAAACGUCCUGUAGGAGAAAGGGGGGGAACCUCGGACCCCACGCUAUCAGAUGAACCUAGGUCGGAUUAGCUAGUUGGUGGGGUAAAGGCCUACCAAGGCGACGAUCCGUAACUGGUCUGAGAGGAUGAUCAGUCACACUGGAACUGAGACACGGUCCAGACUCCUACGGGAGGCAGCAGUGGGGAAUAUUGGACAAUGGGCGAAAGCCUGAUCCAGCCAUGCCGCGUGUGUGAAGAAGGUCUUCGGAUUGUAAAGCACUUUAAGUUGGGAGGAAGGGCAGUAAGUUAAUACCUUGCUGUUUUGACGUUACCAAAAGAAUAAGCACCGGCUAACUUCGUG